GUGGAUUAGAUACCCUGGUAGUCCACGCCGUAAACUAUGGAUGCUAGCCGUCGGCAAGCUUGCUUGUCGGUGGCGCAGCUAACGCAUUAAGCAUCCCGCCUGGGGAGUACGGCCGCAAGGUUAAAACUCAAAGGAAUUGACGGGGGCCCGCACAAGCGGUGGAGCAUGUGGUUUAAUUCGACGCAACGCGAAGAACCUUACCAGCUCUUGACAUUCACUGAUCGCCUUCAGAGAUGAGGGAAUUCCAGCAAUGGACAGUGGGACAGGUGCUGCAUGGUUGUCGACAACU
This 289-nucleotide ribosomal RNA is filed under the name uncultured bacterium. RNAcentral describes it as "partial 16S ribosomal RNA". It matches the Rfam family "Bacterial small subunit ribosomal RNA", at positions 773 to 1060 of the family's 1533-position model. The record is from RNAcentral.